UCCAAGAUUUUUUUAAAAAUCACAGAAAUUAAAGAAAAAGGGGGAA
Molecule: non-coding RNA, 46 nt
Organism: Chlorocebus sabaeus (green monkey)
Lineage: Eukaryota; Metazoa; Chordata; Mammalia; Primates; Cercopithecidae
Source: Rfam